CGCCGGCCGGCGCGCGGCGGCGGCCCCUUCCCUUUCCUCAACCAAAGCUCGAGCUCCAGCAACCGGUCGACAGCAAGCACCCAACAGCUACCGCUCUCGACGAGCUCGACGGAGCCUCCUCUCUCACCGCACGCCGUUCGUGCAGCACAAGAGCCCACUCCGGCAAGCAGUGAGCACCACAAGAUUGCUGUUGCUCCAGCCUCCAUCAUGAUCCAAGCAAGGGCAGGAAGCAUUGGAGAACAAAGAAGAUUAGUUCAACUUCAGUUCUUUGCGGAUGCAAUUUUUCAAGUUUCCAGCUUUCCACUGUUGUUGCAGAAGCAAGCUAGAAUCAAGUGGUUUAGAUUUGCUUUCAAGAACGUGUGUUGUAUUUUAUUUUAUUAUCGUUUGGAUCUGAGCGAUGAUAGAAUCAGUUCAUCAGCACAUCUGAAGUGUCCAUCAUAUGUUUGUGAGAGGAAUAUUUUCAGCUCCAUUGUCGUAGAAUCAAUGUAAUUGAGUAUUUUCUAUUAAUAAUAGAAUGGCAU
This 521-nucleotide long non-coding RNA is filed under the name Oryza sativa Indica Group (long-grained rice). Its description in RNAcentral is "lncRNA OsMH63_03G039540". The record is from RNAcentral. Lineage: Eukaryota; Viridiplantae; Streptophyta; Magnoliopsida; Poales; Poaceae.